RNAcentral lists this ribosomal RNA (594 nucleotides) under Clanculus bronni. RNAcentral describes it as "partial 16S rRNA". It matches the Rfam family "Bacterial large subunit ribosomal RNA", at positions 1817 to 2597 of the family's 2925-position model. The record is from RNAcentral. Lineage: Eukaryota; Metazoa; Mollusca; Gastropoda; Trochida; Trochidae.
GGCUCCUCGAAUAAGUGAGAUAUGAGGGGUCGGACCUGCCCGGUGACUAUAAAAUGUUAAACGGCCGCGGUACCCUAACCGUGCAAAGGUAGCAUAAUCAUUUGCCUUUUAAUUGGAGGCUUGUAUGAAUGGUUUGACGAGAGCUAAGCUGUCUCUUUUAAAAUAUUUAAAAAUUAACUUUUAGGUGAAGAGGCUUAAAUGUUGUUGAGGGACAAGAAGACCCUGUUGAGCUUUAGUGAUGUAUCAGAAUGAUUAGAGGUUGGAAAUUUCAUUUGUAUUUCACAGCUUGUUAUAUCUUGUGAGAGAGUGAUUUUUUGGUACAAAUCUUUAGUUGGGGCGACUAAGGAACACUAGAAGCUUCCUUUGAUAAAAUUGGCUGUAGAAAAAUGUUGUAUAGUUUGUUGUAUGCAGGCAUGUUGGGAGUUGAGAUCCAGUAAAAAUACUGAUUAAAGGAAAAAGUUACCACAGGGAUAACAGCGUAAUCUUUCUGGAGAGAUCUUAUCGAGAGAAGGGUUUGCGACCUCGAUGUUGGACUAAGAUAUCCUAAGGGUGUAGAAGCUCUUGAUGGUUGGUCUGUUCGACCAUUAAAAUCUU